AUACGUAGGUGGCAAGCGUUGUCCGGAAUUAUUGGGCGUAAAGCGCAUGUAGGCGGUUUGGUAAGUCGGUCGUGAAAAUGCGGGGCUUAACGCCGUAUGGCGAUCGAAAGUGAUGAAAUUGGGUGCAGGAGGGGGAAGGGGAACUCCCGGUGCAGCGGGGAAAUGGGUAGAUAUUGGGAAGAACACCGGUGGCGAAGGCGCCUUUCUGGACUGUGUCUGACGCUCAGAUGCGAAAGCCAGGGUAGCGAACGGGAUUAGAUACCCCGGUAGUCCUGGCCGUAAACGAUGGGUACUAGGUGUGGGAGGUAUCGACUCCUUCCGUGCCGGAGUUAACGCAAUAAGUACCCCGCCUGGGGAGUACGGCCGCAAGGCUUAAACUCAAAGGAAUUGACGGGG
This 396-nucleotide ribosomal RNA is filed under the name uncultured bacterium. RNAcentral describes it as "partial 16S ribosomal RNA". It matches the Rfam family "Bacterial small subunit ribosomal RNA", at positions 523 to 918 of the family's 1533-position model. The record is from RNAcentral.